GAUGAACGCUGGCGGCGUGCCUAAUACAUGCAAGUCGAGCGAACAGACGAGGAGCUUGCUCCUCUGACGUUAGCGGCGGACGGGUGAGUAACACGUGGAUAACCUACCUAUAAGACUGGGAUAACUUCGGGAAACCGGAGCUAAUACCGGAUAAUAUAUUGAACCGCAUGGUUCAAUAGUGAAAGACGGUUUUGCUGUCACUUAUAGAUGGAUCCGCGCCGCAUUAGCUAGUUGGUGAGGUAACGGCUUACCAAGGCAACGAUGCGUAGCCGACCUGAGAGGGGGAUCGGCCGCACUGGAAGUGAGACACGGUCCAGACUCCUACGGGAGGCAGCAGUAGGGAAUCUUCCGCAAUGGGCGAAAGCCUGACGGAGCAACGCCGCGUGAGUGAUGAAGGUCUUCGGAUCGUAAAACUCUGUUAUUAGGGAAGAACAAAUGUGUAAGUAACUAUGCACGUCUUGACGGUACCUAAUCAGAAAGCCACGGCUAACUACGUG
Molecule: ribosomal RNA, 497 nt
Filed under: uncultured bacterium
Lineage: Bacteria
Description: partial 16S ribosomal RNA
Rfam family: Bacterial small subunit ribosomal RNA
Source: RNAcentral